AACGCUAGCUACAGGCUUAACACAUGCAAGUCGCGGGGCAGCAUGGGAGAUGCUUGCAUUUCCUGAUGGCGACCGGCGCACGGGUGAGUAACGCGUAUCCAACCUGCCUGUUACCACGGCACAGCCCGUCGAAAGGCGGAUUAAUGCCGUAUGUGGUCCUAAGCGGGCAUCUAAUUAGGACUAAAGGAUUGGCGGUAACGGAUGGGGAUGCGUUCCAUUAGAUAGUAGGCGGGGUAACGGCCCACCUAGUCUACGAUGGAUAGGGGUUCUGAGAGGAAGGUCCCCCACAUUGGAACUGAGACACGGUCCAAACUCCUACGGGAGGCAGCAGUGAGGAAUAUUGGUCAAUGGACGAGAGUCUGAACCAGCCAAGUAGCGUGAAGGAUGACUGCCCUACGGGUUGUAAACUUCUUUUAUAAGGGAAUAAAGUGUGCCACGUGUGGUGCUUUGCAUGUACCUUAUGAAUAAGCAUCGGCUAACUCCGUGCCAGCAGCCGCGGUAAUACGGAGGAUGCGAGCGUUAUCCGGAUUUAUUGGGUUCAAAGGGAGCGUAGACGGGUCGUUAAGUCAGCUGUGAAAGUUUGAGGCUCAACCUUAAAAUUGCAGUUGAUACUGGCGUCCUUGAGUACGGUUGAGGCAGGCGGAAUUCGUGGUGUAGCGGUGAAAUGCUUAGAUAUCACGAAGAACUCCGAUUG
This 694-nucleotide ribosomal RNA is filed under the name uncultured Bacteroides sp. Its description in RNAcentral is "bacterial SSU rRNA". It matches the Rfam family "Bacterial small subunit ribosomal RNA", at positions 32 to 715 of the family's 1533-position model. Lineage: Bacteria; Pseudomonadati; Bacteroidota; Bacteroidia; Bacteroidales; Bacteroidaceae. The record is from RNAcentral.